Non-coding RNA from Sapajus apella (tufted capuchin), 1768 nucleotides. The record is from the annotation of a RefSeq genome assembly. Lineage: Eukaryota; Metazoa; Chordata; Mammalia; Primates; Cebidae.
CUCUAAACUCCUGCCUCCCAACCCAGGAAUCAGAGCCUGAGACAGACAGAUGCUUCAUUCCUAUAUGGGGUGGUAUUCCUGCCAUGGGUCCUGGGCUUCUCCACUGGGUGGCCCUUUGUCUCCUUCGAGCAGGUCGUGGGGAUGCCAUGGUCAUCCAGAACCCAAGAUACCAGGUUACCCAGUUGGGAAAGCCAGUGACUCUGAGUUGUUCUCAGAAUCUGAACCAUAAUGCCAUGUACUGGUACCAGCAGAAGCCAAGUCAGGCCCCAAAUCUGCUGUUGUACUACUAUGACAAAGCUUUGAACAAUGAAGCAGACACCCCUGAUAACUUCCAAUCCAGGAGGCCGAACACCUCUUUCUGCUUUCUUGACAUCCGCUCAUCAGGCCUAAGGGAUGCAGCCACGUACCUGUGUGCCAGCAGCAGAGACACAGAGCUGCAGUGCUAUCUCCCCUCUGUUCAUAAACCUCAUCGUUUCCCAGAUCCAGGUGCUUUCUCUAGGACUCCCCCCACACCAACUCUUACAACAAUAGGAAGUGGGUUUGUGGCUGUCAAUAUCUCAUCUGUAAACAGCAGUUAGGCGCAAAUCAAUAAGAACCAUUGACAGUUAUGCCAAGAGUGGAAAAAUGGUUACACAUGCCUGGCAUUCAGCUUGCGGUAUUUCCCAGGAUCAUAUUGAGAACACAUGCUGUCCUUUUCAGAAGAUGAAUAGAAGCCUUUUCUUUCCUCUUUGAUCGUUUUAAUCUAAGUCAGAGGCUUAGAAAUAUAAGAGGUGAUAUGUGAAGGAUUAUGGAGACCCAAGGUCAUAUAAACUCAAGUCUCUGGCAUUUGAUUUGAUUAAACCUUAUAGGGUUUCAUACUCCUGGAUAAUCCACAUGUUUUUAGCCCAGACCUGGAGCAACUACCUCAUUAAUGGGAGAAUGAAAACACAAGUAUCCCAAGAUAAAAAUCUCUCAGGGAAAAAAAAAAAACACAUUGAAGAGAGAGAGAGAAAAAAAGGGAAGACCAUACAUUCAUCUGCUCCUAUCUGGAGUUAGAGGUACUAUUGUGAUGGCCAAAUGGAAACCAUAAAUAUAUAAAGAAAUCAAACUGAAAAUAGAGCACAUUUGGAGAUGAAGAUCAUGGAGCCAUUGGUAUAGAAGAGAGUAAUAAUGUCACUGAGGUGCAUAAGGGCUCCAGCAAACGUCAGUAAAAGAACAGCUCCAGGAGGGAAGAAGAAGGGAGUUCCUGCUCCCCUUAAUGAAGAUAAACAAAAUGCUGAGCGAGUAAUAUUGAAACCUCAUAAAUUGUCACAUGGAAGCAUACAUUUACAAAUUAUCUUAUAAUUAACAUCCCUCGAUGAGAAUGGUAUUUUGAUUUAAAAAAGCAGAAAAUAUAGUUAUAUGGCUAUCUAAACAUGUAAAAUUUUGCACAUUGAAUAAAGAUAAUCUUAAAAAAGACAAAAUCUAUUACAAAAGAGCUUUUACAUUGUUUUAUUGAUAUUGAUAAUAUAAUGAUAGCUAACAUUUACUAAGCACUUACUACAUGCUAGACCUUAAGUCUUCUUCACGUAUAUUUAUAGUUCAUGUAAGCUUUACAACAGCCUCAGAAAGUAGGUACUAUUGUAAUCUCACUCAUUUAUCGAUGGGGAAACUGAGACACAGACAAGUAACUAGCCCUUUAUCACAUCUCGUUUGUGGUGGAGCCAGGAUCGAAAUGUAGACAAUUUACUUCUGAAGCUCAUUCUCUCUUGAGAGUUUAUGUGGGUUCUAAGCCAGACCUUCGGAUAGG